RNAcentral lists this ribosomal RNA (478 nucleotides) under uncultured anaerobic ammonium-oxidizing bacterium. Its description in RNAcentral is "bacterial SSU rRNA". It matches the Rfam family "Bacterial small subunit ribosomal RNA", at positions 364 to 833 of the family's 1533-position model. The record is from RNAcentral.
UUUCGCAAUGCCCGAAAGGGUGACGAAGCGACGCCGCGUGGGUGAGGAAGGCCUUCGGGUUGUAAAGCCCUGUCAGGAGUUAUGAAAUGUAAGUGCGCUAAUAUCGUGCUUAUUUGACAAAGGCUCCAAAGGAAGCCACGGCUAACUCUGUGCCAGCAGCCGCGGUAAUACAGAGGUGGCGAGCGUUGUUCGGAAUUAUUGGGCGUAAAGAGCACGUAGGUGGGCUUGCAAGUCAGAUGUGAAAGCCUUCUGUUCAACGGAAGAAUUGCAUCUGAAACUGCUAUCUUGAGUAUAGGAGGGGAGAAUGGAACUUCUGGUGGAGCGGUGAAAUGCGUAGAUAUCAGAAGGAACGCCGGCGGCGAAAGCGAUUCUCUGGCCUAUUACUGACACUCAGCGUGCGAAAGCUAGGGGAGCAAACGGGAUUAGAUACCCCGGUAGUCCUAGCCGUAAACGAUGGGCACUAAGUAGAGGGGUUUUA